Molecule: ribosomal RNA, 301 nt
Filed under: uncultured bacterium
Lineage: Bacteria
Description: partial 16S ribosomal RNA
Rfam family: Bacterial small subunit ribosomal RNA
Source: RNAcentral
CAGUCGCCGCGGUAAUACGUAGGGUGCAAGCGUUAAUCGGAAUUACUGGGCGUAAAGCGUGCGCAGGCGGUUUGUUAAGACAGAUGUGAAAUCCCCGGGCUCAACCUGGGAACUGCAUUUGUGACUGCACAGCUAGAGUAUGGCAGAGGGGGGUGGAAUUCCACGUGUAGCAGUGAAAUGCGUAGAGAUGUGGAGGAACACCGAUGGCGAAGGCAGCCCCCUGGGCCAAUACUGACGCUCAUGCACGAAAGCGUGGGGAGCAAACAGGAUUAGAUACCCCAGUAGUCCCUGUCUCUUAUAC